GAAGGUGGCAAGCGUUGUUCGGAAUCACUGGGCUCAAAGCGCGCGUAGGCGGAAAUGUAAGUGUCUUGUGAAAUCCCUCGGCUCAACCGAGGAACUGCUCGGCAAACUGCAUUUCUUGAGGCAAGUAGGGGUACAUGGAACUCUUGGUGGAGCGGUGGAAUGCGUAGAUAUCAAGAGGAACGCCAAAGGUGAAGACAGUGUACUGGGCUUGUCCUGACGCUGAGGUGCGAAAGCGUGGGGGAGCGAACGGGAUUAGAUACCCCGGUAGUCCACGCCGUAAACGAUGUCUACUAGGUUGUGGGUGUUCUGACACACUCGCAGUCGGAGCAAAAGUGUUAAGUAGACCGCCUGGGGAGUACGGUCGCAAGGCUA
This 372-nucleotide ribosomal RNA is filed under the name uncultured organism. RNAcentral's name for it is "partial 16S ribosomal RNA". It matches the Rfam family "Bacterial small subunit ribosomal RNA", at positions 527 to 896 of the family's 1533-position model. The record is from RNAcentral.